This is a long non-coding RNA of Lycium barbarum (goji berry), 655 nucleotides long. RefSeq lists it as uncharacterized. The transcript is spliced from 3 exons. The record is from RefSeq and is a predicted model, not a curated record. NCBI's taxonomy places the organism in Eukaryota, Viridiplantae, Streptophyta, Magnoliopsida, Solanales, Solanaceae.
ACCAAACUAAAUAAUCAAACAGCCUUCUCUCUCUAAAUCGAAAAACAUCGAAAUCCAUUGGUUUGAAGCUUUCGCCACCUCCACUGCUACCACGUGUCCUUUCCCUUUGAUUGACGUGGUGGUAGAGCCGAAAGGGUCCAAUAGGAGGUUGUUUCAACCUCUGUAGAAGAGGAACGCGAUGAACCGCUGGUUUCCUUCGACCCGGUGGGUAUAGGUUCGUUCAACCAUCAGACCCGAAAACCUUGGAGAAAUCUCCAAAUUCGGAGUCCCAAUGAACCUCCAGAUUUCAAAUCAUCUCUGAAAAGUUCUCGGCUGAGCAAAGACCACUUCAAGCGGAUUCCGAGACUCGACGACGAUAAUUGCCUCAGUUCGCUGUCACGGAGAAGAGAAACAGCAGUGUCAUUCGCUUGUGUCUAGCAGCCUCGUUCGCGUCCACGUCCAUGUCCUUUUCCCUCUCUUCAUACUUUUAUCUUUCUUUUUUUUAUACAUACGAUUUGACUAACAAUUGUACCAAUUUGGUAUUUGUAUUUACGCUUUGCUUAAUUUGUGUUUGGGUUUGCGUAAACAGAUUGUUACGUGAUAGUGAACACUCAUUGAUUUCCCUCCCUCUUUAGAUACUAGCCUUGAUUUAGAGUAAAAGGUGUUUUAUUAAUCA